UGUGAGGAGCCUGAAACUGGUGACAUUUUCCUCUACAGCCUUCACAUCUGAACUGUCUCUGCAGGAACCACAUGAUUUGUACCCAGAAGUACUGUACCUGAUGCCAAGACCCAGAAAAUGAACUUAUCGUCAUUGGAACUCGUCAGAGAUUUCAGCAAGUAGGCUGAUCCAAGACAAAGGGUGCUGGUCAAGAUGGCAGACUUUGCAAAUAUGAACAGAAGAAAAACACAGCAGGGAUCUAAUGAAGCAAAUUCUUCAGCAUGUAGCAGUAACGGAUUUUUAUACCAGUCCUAGCAAGGACUCUCACCGUGAACGGCGUGCACAUUAACUUGCAUUCCCAGGAACCUAACACAAAUUCUUUUGAACACAGUACUGGAAACAGGACAAGCUAAGGGGUGUCAUUCUACUUACUAAUAAUGCCAUAUCCAUUAUUAUCUUCAAAUGCCCCUUUUAGAACUUUGCUGAUCCCAUUGAAUAUUCUGGGUAGCUGAGUUUUCAAAACAUAUUCAUUCCCAGUAGAGCUCUAUGCUCUGUUGAUUGGCUGCCUCCUUUCCUGAUCACGCUGUGAACUUUAGUGGAUGAAAUUUUAUACAUAAUCAUGCUGCAUUCUUUGCUGAUUGAGCCGCCUAUUAUCACUGUUUAUAUAGCUAUUACAUUCUGCGUUUCCCAGUCCAGUUGCAAGCUUGUUUUUCCCCAAUAUAUUAUGCAAAAUAAACUGAACAGGAAUUACAGUAUUUCCAACCUGCUGUGUCUUCAGAAUCUAAGAUAGCAAAAUGCUUAGGUUUUCUUUCAAAUAGUAGGAUAAAUGCUUCUCCAAAGAUUGAAGCUGCUGGUUAUGGAAAGCUUGUGCCACUUACUGUAUGCAAAAUAGGGAGAUUUACAAAGAAACUGAUUGCAUCUUUAUUUGCUUUAUCAAAGAAUCUAAAACCAUAGCUGAAACUAUAGAAAAUGCACUUUAGUGGUCUUAAAACAAAUGAUAUCCCCAACAGAUUUGUCGACAGCUUAGCACAUAAGCCCAGACUGCUGAAGCAAAAAGCAUCUGGAAUUUCUACUGCUAGAAUAUGCACCUUAAUAAGGAAAAGAUUCAAAAGUUCAAUGCCUGAAUUGUACAGCUUGGUCAGCGGAGUUUUGCAGCUGAACAAGCGUUGUCUGUGCAGCUGGCUUUGCCAAAAAUAAAUAAAUAAGGGGAAUGAAUAAACCGGCACUGAAAAAUAUGAAUCUUCCCUAAUAAUAAAAUAUGCAAAAAUGAUAGUAAACUCUCUCCAUUUAUUAAAUUCAAUUAUGCCUCUCAAUCAGCAAAGUGUGCAACAACUGCACUCAAGAAGGGCGUCACUAAAUCAGGGGAAGAUACAGCCCAAUCAGGAAAAUUUAACAACUCGAUCAUUAAAUUAGGCAACACUACCAGAACCAAGGUAAAUAAAAAGAAGAUAAACUGUACAGGCUGAUCUUUGCAGGCUAAAACGGUGAGAGGGAGACUGAAAAGACACCAUUGGAUAAUAAAUAGGUCAGUCUCCUGGGGGACUAGACCUUUAGGUGAUGUAAAUAAUUAUUGCUUUAAUGAAGUUACUGGAGCUGUAUCUGUUCUUCUAAAGUAAAUACCUGGUACAACAA
This is a long non-coding RNA of Falco peregrinus (peregrine falcon), 1611 nucleotides long. RefSeq lists it as uncharacterized. NCBI's taxonomy places the organism in Eukaryota, Metazoa, Chordata, Aves, Falconiformes, Falconidae. The record is from RefSeq and is a predicted model, not a curated record. The transcript is spliced from 3 exons.